AUUGAACGCUGGCGGCAUGCCUUACACAUGCAAGUCGAACGGCAGCACGGGUGCUUGCACCUGGUGGCGAGUGGCGAACGGGUGAGUAAUACAUCGGAACAUGUCCUGUAGUGGGGGAUAGCCCGGCGAAGGCCGGAUUAAUACCGCAUACGAUCUACGGAUGAAAGCGGGGGACCUUCGGGCCUCGCGCUAUAGGGUUGGCCGAUGGCUGAUUAGCUAGUUGGUGGGGUAAAGGCCUACCAAGGCGACGAGCAGUAGCUGGUCUGAGAGGACGGCCAGCCACACUGGGAGUGAGACACGGCCCAGACUCCUACGGGAGGCAGCAGUGGGGAAUGUUGGACAAUGGGCGGAAGCCUGAUCCAGCAAUGCCGCGUGUGUGAAGAAGGCCUUCGGGUUGUAAAGCACUUUUGUCCGGAAAGAAAUGCUUGGCCCUAAUACGGUCGGGGGAUGACGGUACCGGAAGAAUAAGCACCGGCUAACUACGUG
This 486-nucleotide ribosomal RNA is filed under the name uncultured bacterium. RNAcentral describes it as "partial 16S ribosomal RNA". It matches the Rfam family "Bacterial small subunit ribosomal RNA", at positions 29 to 507 of the family's 1533-position model. The record is from RNAcentral.